GAAUGGCUGACCUGUGAGGACUGUUAUUGC
This 30-nucleotide non-coding RNA is filed under the name Rattus norvegicus (Norway rat). Lineage: Eukaryota; Metazoa; Chordata; Mammalia; Rodentia; Muridae. The record is from RNAcentral.